ACGUAGGGUGCGAGCGUUAAUCGGAAUUACUGGGCGUAAAGCGCGCGUAGGCGGUUUUGUAAGUCAGAGGUGAAAUCCCCGGGCUCAACCUGGGGACUGCCUUUGUAACUGGAAAUCUGGAGUGCGGGAGAGGGGGGUGGAAUUCCGCGUGUAGCGGUGAAAUGCGUAGAUAUUAGGAGGAACACCGGUGGCGAAGGCAACCCUCUGGACUUGUACUGACGCUGAGGCGCGAAAGCGUGGGUAGCAAACAG
Molecule: ribosomal RNA, 251 nt
Filed under: uncultured prokaryote
Description: partial 16S rRNA
Rfam family: Bacterial small subunit ribosomal RNA
Source: RNAcentral